Long non-coding RNA from Daphnia magna, 2377 nucleotides. RefSeq lists it as uncharacterized. Lineage: Eukaryota; Metazoa; Arthropoda; Branchiopoda; Diplostraca; Daphniidae. The record is from RefSeq and is a predicted model, not a curated record. The transcript is spliced from 2 exons.
UGCACACACAUACGCAGGUAGACACAAUUGAACAGACACACACACACACACACACGAUGGCUAAGCUCAAAAAAGUUCACUGGCCGAAAAACGGUUUUUUUUCUUCUCAGAAAAAAAAAAGAGGGAAAGAAAACAAGUGUAUUUUCGUACUGGUUGAUGUGUACGAACAGGUCAAAGUGGUACGUAAUCACGGCGCGCGAUGGCCGUACCCAAGAACAGCAAGAGCGGCCAUGGCGCGCUCGCCAAGUAUCACAACUGAACUCGGCCGAGAAGGAAGAGCAACUGGUGGCGGUUGUGACCACUCUUCUUCUUCUUCUUCUUCUCCUCCUCUUGGGAUGUGUAUGUGUGCUAGCCCCCUCUUUCUUUUCUUCGAUUCUUGCCUACCUGAGCUAAGGUGCAUUUGCUACACACUACUUUUCAUUCUCUGUCUCCCUAUUCUUUUCUUUCGUUCUUUUGAACCUGUUGUUCUGUGCCCUUGAGGGAUGUGGAGGCGCUAGUUGCAAAGUGUUGUCCGACACACUGGCGCUCUCGGUGUUACCCACUUGGACUGGAUGUACAGGAAUGGAGAGAAAACCGAGAAGACGAAGGAAUGAAGAAACAGUAGAGAAUGAAAGAGAGAGAGAGAGAGAGAGAGAGAAAAGCUUUGCUUUAUUUCCUUUUAAGCAGAAGAAGAAGAAAACGAAGGGAAAAACAAAAAAAGCUGUUCGGUCUUCGUCAUUGUCCCGCGGUCAGGCCCAGAGGAAUCACAUAGAAAACAAAAGAAAAUCCUCGGCCUCCUUCUCUCCUUGACUUUGACCUUGUCCUCGCCAUUCGUCGUCCAGAAAUCACAUUAAAGGUAUGAAGGCUUUCCUCCUACGCCGACCAAAUAAAAUGAAGAUGAAAAAGGGAGAUGGGCUCAUCAAAACGUGUGAUGUUUUACGGCGUGUUCUCCCCGCUGUGGGUGCCGUCAAACAAGUGAAAUGGCGCCAUCUCUUUCUGUUCACUAAAUGAGUGUCGAGAUGAAUGUAGUUUUUUACGUCGCCUCUAGCAGCAAAAGAACGAGAACAAACGAAACGAAAAGGUAAACCGUAAACCUAUUGUGUCGAUAAUACUGUUACUCCCACAUAACGUCAUAGACCACGCGUAACAAGACCGUGUGUCGCCCAUGCAACUCCGCUAGAUGGCAUGCAAGUAUUUUUUUAUUUAUUUCCUUUUUUUUUUUAUUAUUAUUUAUUUAUUUUUUCUCACACAACCGUAACAACGAAAAAGCCUAACAGAAACGCGACGCAAGAAUUCCGUUGUGUGAAAAUAAGAAGCUAAAACUACAAAAACUAUCACACACUUUGUUCAAAACUAUGAAAAGAGACUCUGAAAAAUUCCCAACUGGCCAAAGGAGACCAACCGGAAACUAAUACCAGUCAAUCUUCCGCCAAUGGCUGGCCGGCUGAAAAAAAAAGGGAGUUGGACCGAGGGAAACAACCGAACAAAAUAAUCCAUAAACGAAGGAAAACUGAAGAAAGAAAAGACGAAAAAAAAAAAACUAAACUGUUAACAAUCAAUUACUUACUAUGAUAUUUGGCCGUGAAGAAUCGCUGGCGAUUCCGGGGUAGUGUCCCGUAAGUCGAAAGUUUCCUGGAAAGCGCCGAGACCGACUGUUGGUCCACCACCAUCGACGACGGCCCUGUUGGGUACGACGGAUGAUUGACUCUAUUCUGGUUGUUAUGCCGCUGUUGUUGCCGCUGGAGCGCCCAUUGAGAAUCGAGCGAUUGGGGACCAACGGCCUCUUCGCUGGAACUGCCACUUUGAUAGGCCCAGCCAGCCGUGCCCAUGGUGCCAUUGCCAUUGCCAUUAGCCGAUGGAUGUUGAUGAUAUUCCGGAUAAUGAUGGGUCGUAAACUGUUUGUGGAAUCCACGAUUAGUCGCCAGCUGGAAGGCAUUAUCGAACUGUUGUUGUUGUUGAUGAUUUUGUUGCUGUCGAUCUUGUUGACGGAGCACAAACUGGAUGCGGUCCGUGAUGGACACAGAGAUCGGUCGAGCGUGAUGGUAGUAAGGUUCCGGCCGCGAGGAACAAGUCGGACGAUGAUGGAUGGCUCGCCACUGACCGAAUCCGCCGUCAUCGCUCCACUCGCUGGAGAAAUGCUGAUGACUUUCGCUCCGGUUUUGCACCAAUCGAUCACACGAUUUCCCUCUUGGACGUUCUUUGGCCGUCGUCUGAUGGUGAUGAACAUCCGUUCGACGUCCGACAUUCUUUAGCAGUGCCGGCUGUUGAGUCUGUCCUCCCUUUAAUAGCCGAUUCUUGCUAAUUACCUGGUCGGCCUGCUGUUGCUGUUCCGCUGUCUGCUGAUGAUUAUGUUUGCUUUUACCGAGAACCGAGGCCACGAUAAAGUUCUUCAUCUUUC